ACGGAAGGCAGCAGCUAAGAAUAUUCCGCAAUGGACGAAAGUCUGACGGAGCGACGCCGCGUGGAUGAUGAAGGUCGGAAGAUUGUAAAAUCCUUUUAUGACUGAGGAAUAAGCAGUGUGAGAGAAACGCAUUGUGGUGACUGUAGGUCAUGAAUAAGCAACGGCUAAUUACGUGCCAGCAGCCGCGGUAACACGUAAGUUGCGAGCGUUGUUCGGAAUUAUUGGGCGUAAAGGGCAUGUAGGCGGUUUUGCAAGCUUGGUGUGAAAUCUCGGAGCUCAACUCCGAAAUUGCGUUGAGAACUGCAUAACUAGAGUGACUGAGGGACAGGCAGAAUUCCAGGUGUAGGGGUGAAAUCUGUAGAUAUCUGGAAGAAUACCAAUGGCGAAGGCAGCCUGCCAGCAGAUGACUGACGCUGAGGUGCGAAGGUGCGGGGAGCAAACAGGAUUAGAUACCCUGGUA
This 460-nucleotide ribosomal RNA is filed under the name uncultured Treponema sp. Its description in RNAcentral is "partial 16S ribosomal RNA". It matches the Rfam family "Bacterial small subunit ribosomal RNA", at positions 341 to 792 of the family's 1533-position model. Lineage: Bacteria; Pseudomonadati; Spirochaetota; Spirochaetia; Treponematales; Treponemataceae. The record is from RNAcentral.